CAAGGCUCAAGAACUACGUGAAGAAUGCAGAAGCCUCAGGAGUUGAUGCAAUCAACUGGAAGAAAGGGUAUCAGUGAUGGAAGAUGAAAUGAAUGAAGUGAAGUGAGAAGGGAAGUUUAGAGAAAAAAGAAUAAAAAGAAAUGAACAAAGCCUCCAAGAAAUAUGGGACUAUGUGAAAAGACCAAAUCUACAUCUGAUUGGUGUACCUGAAAGUGAUGGGGAGAAUGGAACCAAGUUGGAAAACACUCUACAGGAUAUUAUCCAGGAGAACUUCCCCAAUCUAGCAAGGCAGGCCAACAUUCAGAUUCAGGAAAUACAGAGGAUGCCACAAAAAUACUCCUCGAGAAGAGCAACUCCAAGACACAUAAUUGUCAGAUUCACCAAAGUUGAAAUGAAGGAAAAAAUGUUAAGGGCAGCCAGAGAGAAAGGUCGGGU
RNAcentral lists this long non-coding RNA (435 nucleotides) under Homo sapiens (human). RNAcentral's name for it is "non-protein coding lnc-ARHGEF26-9:1". Lineage: Eukaryota; Metazoa; Chordata; Mammalia; Primates; Hominidae. The record is from RNAcentral.